UCCUGCCUCAGACUCCCAAGUAGCUGGGAUUAAAAGCGCUCCUUGGAUUAGAGACCAUCCUGAGGACAUCCUUGGGAGCCAUGUGCUGAAGAUGGCCAAGCCACAGGAUGAAAGGAGCUGCAUCUUUGAGUCACCACUGGAGAAAGGUCUCUCUAAAUGGAUUUGCAGAGACGUCUUCUCGAAUACUCCCCUUCUAAGUUCCACUUGUAAUCCACUUCUUCUAUUCUCCCAGCAAUCAAUGUGGUUUGGGGAAAUUCCAGAAUCUCAUAAUACCUUGGUCAUGGGUAAAUAAGGAAAGGACCUUUACAUACAUGUGAUGCAAAGCAGAUCAAAACAAGCAGAGCAGCCUAAGAGCAGCAAGACCCCAAAGGAUAAGGGAAGUCCUGCAGAAGAGCAGAGCGGUGCUGCAAAGGCAGGCAGGUAAGGUAAGCAGACAGGGCCAUCAGGAUGGAUCCUUUGGGCAUGCCAGCAUCCACCAGGGACUGGUAGAGCUAUUUAGAGAAACUGAUAAAAAGCUCUGCCAACUACAGUCACAAAAGAUGGAGCUCAGAAUGAUGAGUAGAUGCCUAAAACAUCUCCAUUUUGUUGAUGAAGAAAGUAAAGUUUAUAGAGCUUAGAUUAUUUGCUUUUGUACCUAGCACAGUACUUAGUUUAUAGUAGAUGCACAAUAAGUAUUUGUUUAAUGAGUGAAUGAGUCACUAGCCUAAGACCUUUAAUAUAACAUGCUUAAACCUGCUACCAGGGAUUGGGAACUCACCUAUUUAGUAGUGAGUAGAGGGGUGUGGUACUGGUACUUAAGACAGAUGCAUUGUGGUUGGGUAUGGUGUGUUUUUGUUUUUGUUUUGAGACAGGUUCUCCCUCUGUUGCCCAGGCUGAGAUGCAGUGGCAUUAUCAUGGCUCACUGCAGCCUUAACCUCCCGGGGCUCAAGCGAUCCUCCCACCUCAGCCUCUGAGUAGCUGGGACCACAGGUACGCAUCACCGUGCCUGGCUAAUUUUGUUUUUUGUUUGUUUGUUUUGUAGGGACGGGAUUUUGCCAUGUUGCCCAGGUUGGUCUCGAACUCCUGGGCUCAAGCUACACCCGCCCGCCUCGGCCUCCCAAAGUUGUAGGAUUAAGGUGUGAGCCACUGUGUCCAGCAGAUAUAAUGUUUUUAAAAGUUUGAGAGUUAAUAUGCUCUCUGGUGUGCCCUAGGUCCCACUACUCCUAUUGCCUUAAAACUCACGCAGUACACAUUUGUCUUCCAUGGGCUUCAGUUGUAAGAGAACCCUUUCUACUCUUUGCUGUUCACAAGUCUCCUUUUAAACAGAGCUUGUUCCCAAUGCUGUUUUGUUUUGCCCUCUGCCAUGUUCUUCCGGCCAUCACCUCCUGUGGGGAAAAGAGAGAGAGAUCACAUUGUUACUGUGUCUGUGUAGAAAGAAGUAGACAUAGGAGACUCCAUUUUGUUCUGUACUAAGAAAAAUUCUUCUGCCUUGAGAUGCUGUUAAUCUAACCCUAGCCCCAACCCUGUGCUCCCUGAGACAUAUGCUGUGUCAACUCAGGGUUAAAUGGAUUAAGGGCUGUGCAAGAUGUGCUUUGUUAAAGAAAUGCUUGAAGGCAGCAUGCUCGUUAAGAGUCAUCUCCACUCCCUAAUCUCAAGUACUCAGGGACACAAAACACUGAGGAAGGCCACAGGGACCUCUGCCUAGGAAAGCCAGGUAUUGUCCAAGGUUUCUCCCCAUGUGAUAGUCUGAAAUGUGGCCUCGUGGGAAGGGAAAGACCUGACCGUCCCCCAGCCCGACACCCGUAAAGGGUCUGUGCUGAGGAGGAUUAGUAAAAGAGGAAGGAACGCCUCUUUGCAGUUGAGACAAGAGGAAGGCAUCUGUCUCCUGCUCGUCCCUGGGCAAUGGAAUGUCUCAGUGUAAAACCCGAUUGUAUAUUCCAUCUACUGAGAUAGGGGAAAACUGCCUUAGGGCUGGAGGUGGGACAUGCUGGCAGCAAUACUGCUCUUCAAGUCAUUGAGAUGUUUAUGUGUAUGCAUAUCUAAAGCACAGCACUUAAUUCUUUACCUUGUUUAUGAUGCAGAGACCUUUGUUCACGUGUUUACCUGCUGACCUUCUCUCCACUAUUAUCCUUUGACCCUGCCACAUCCCCCUCUCCGAGAAACACCCAAUAAUGAUCAAUAAAUACUAAGGGAACUCAGAGGCCGGUGGGAUCCUCCGUAUGCUGAACACCGGUCCCCUGGACCCCUUUUUUUCUUUCUCU
Molecule: long non-coding RNA, 2240 nt
Filed under: Homo sapiens (human)
Lineage: Eukaryota; Metazoa; Chordata; Mammalia; Primates; Hominidae
Description: HSALNT0333301
Source: RNAcentral